UACGAAGGGGGCUAGCGUUGCUCGGAAUUACUGGGCGUAAAGGGCGCGUAGGCGGCACUGUUAGUCAGGCGUGAAAGUCCUGGGCUCAACCUGGGAACUGCGCUUGAUACGGCAGAGCUAGAGGAUGGAAGAGGGUCGCGGAAUUCCCAGUGUAGAGGUGAAAAUUCGUAGAUAUUGGGAAGAACACCGGUGGCGAAGGCGGCGACCUGGUCCAUUACUGACGCUGAGGCGCGACAGCGUGGGGGAGCAAACAGG
RNAcentral lists this ribosomal RNA (255 nucleotides) under uncultured bacterium. Its description in RNAcentral is "partial 16S ribosomal RNA". It matches the Rfam family "Bacterial small subunit ribosomal RNA", at positions 524 to 776 of the family's 1533-position model. The record is from RNAcentral.